UAACCCUACGGGGGGCAGCAGUGGGGAAUAUUGCACAAUGGGGGGAACCCUGAUGCAGCGACGCCGCGUGGGUGAGGAAGUACUUCGGUAUGUAAAGCCCUAUCAGCAGGGAAGAAAAUGACGGUACCUGACUAAGAAGCCCCGGCUAACUACGUGCCAGCAGCCGCGGUAAUACGUAGGGAGCGAGCGUUAUCCGGAUUUAUUGGGUGUAAAGGGUGCGUAGACGGGAAAAUAAGUUAGUUGUGAAAUCCCUCGGCUCAACUGAGGAA
Molecule: ribosomal RNA, 269 nt
Filed under: uncultured bacterium
Lineage: Bacteria
Description: partial 16S ribosomal RNA
Rfam family: Bacterial small subunit ribosomal RNA
Source: RNAcentral